Molecule: ribosomal RNA, 654 nt
Filed under: uncultured bacterium
Lineage: Bacteria
Description: bacterial SSU rRNA
Rfam family: Bacterial small subunit ribosomal RNA
Source: RNAcentral
GAAAGAUGGCUUUGGCUAUCACUCUGGGAUGGACCUGCGGUGCAUUAGCUAGUUGGUAAGGUAACGGCUUACCAAGGCGAUGAUGCAUAGCCGAGUUGAGAGACUGAUCGGUCACAAUGGAACUGAGACACGGUCCAUACUCCUACGGGAGGCAGCAGUAGGGAAUCUUCCACAAUGGGCGCAAGCCUGAUGGAGCAACACCGCGUGAGUGAAGAAGGGUUUCGGCUCGUAAAGCUCUGUUGUUGGAGAAGAACGUGCGUGAGAGUAACUGUUCAUGCAGUGACGGUAUCCAACCAGAAAGUCACGGCUAACUACGUGCCAGCAGCCGCGGUAAUACGUAGGUGGCAAGCGUUAUCCGGAUUUAUUGGGCGUAAAGCGAGCGCAGGCGGUUGCUUAGGUCUGAUGUGAAAGCCUUCGGCUUAACCGAAGAAGUGCAUCGGAAACCGGGCGACUUGAGUGCAGAAGAGGACAGUGGAACUCCAUGUGUAGCGGUGGAAUGCGUAGAUAUAUGGAAGAACACCAGUGGCGAAGGCGGCUGUCUGGUCUGCAACUGACGCUGAGGCUCGAAAGCAUGGGUAGCGAACAGGAUUAGAUACCCUGGUAGUCCAUGCCGUAAACGAUGAGUGCUAGGUGUUGGAGGGUUUCCGCCCUUCA